Molecule: long non-coding RNA, 32445 nt
Organism: Loxodonta africana (African savanna elephant)
Lineage: Eukaryota; Metazoa; Chordata; Mammalia; Proboscidea; Elephantidae
Exons: 2
Source: RefSeq, a predicted model, not a curated record
UCGUGUCCGUUGUUGCAGCCACUGUGUAUUCUGAGCGCCUUUUAGUCUAGGAGACUCAUCUUCCAGCCCUGUAUCGGACAGUGUUCUGUUGUGACCGUAGGGCUUUCAUUGGCUAGUUUUCAGAAGCAGAUCACUAGGGCUUUCUUGCUAGUCUGUCUUAGUCUGAAAGCUCUGCUGAAACCUGUCCACUGUGGAUGACCCUGCUGGUAUUUGAAAUACCAGUGGCAUAGUUUCCAGCAUCAUAGCAACAUGAAAGCCACCAUGAUAUGACAAACUGACCGAUGAGGAAGUCGGUAUUCAGAGACGUUAAAUGACUUACCUGAAUGGCAGAAUAGAGGCUACAGCUGGAAUCUUUUUAGUCCUACUACAACUUGCAGCCCCUGCGGGACCAUUAUGUAUGCUUUGCAAAUACGUGGCAUGCAGCUGGUGUGGAGCUCAGUGAGGACUGAAUCUGCUCGAGCUUUGUCACCUUCAUAGUUGAAUCUAGUCAUGUUUCCUUAUGUACAGCAAAGGAAACAUUUGUCUCAGCAAAGCCGACUUUUCCUUGUGAUUCCCUAUGGCUAAUUGUAGAUAUUCCUGUAAAAACCAUUCUGAUAACUAUGCACUUGGAUAUUUAAAAAUGUAAUCAAAAUACACUCUUUUUAAAGAGAGAGGUAUGCCUCUGAGGCUUUCCAGUCAGCUUCUUGUAAGUUUAACUAUUUUCCUAUUGAUUUACAUUCUAACCCCAGUUGUAUUGGGAAUUUUUGAUCUUCAUUUGUCAGGAGUACCUUUUAGCUUUUGUUUCUUUCGUAAGGCUUGUCUGUUAGGUAUUUAAUGAAAAACCACAUAAGUGCACCCAGGAGUUUUAAGGGAAAGAAUUAAGUCUUUUGUAAUACGGAAAGAAUUAAGUCUUUUGUAAUACCAUGAUCCUAUAAUUUAUCUGUUUAACAAAAUGAUAUGCUGUGUGCCCUAAUUUUUAAAUGAACAGGUGAUUACCGUUAUAACAUACGUUACCGUUAAUGCGUGUUCUCUUUCCCGGUUCUACUUACAGGUGCUUUGCUUACAGUUUAUCCCUAGUCAUGAUCAACAACUGGACACAUUCGGUGUAAGCUAUCAUGAUGUACACAAAGUCCUUCGGUGGCCCCUAAUUGUCUUGAAUGUAUUUGAAGCCCAUUUCUCAUUCAGUUGGCAGUUGACUUUCUCCUGGUUUCUCCUUCUAAAGUAAGGAGAAAAGGAUAUCGCAAAUUUUAACGUGUGUAAAGCUGACAACGCAGGUUACCACGUAGCUGGAGAUGAAGUUUUGACAUUUCCAUGAGUCACCUGCCAUUCAAUAAUAUGUUUCAGGAAGUCGUUUAGAGAUAUGUGGGUUGAUCAUUAGCAAAUACAUUUUUACCUCUAACUGGCUGCCUUUUUGAAGCUGCUUUGAAAGUCUGUUUUCUAAAUUUGGAAGGAUCUGUGUAUUUGAGCCUUGAAAAAGACAGUCUCUUAGCAACAUGUUUAAGGACCUGGAGAAACAAAUUAAGUAAGAAGUAUGAUGAUCUGUGUAUGUUCUCACUGUUUCGGAAACCAUCCUAAAGGUAGAUAUUUUUAAGGCAGUUUAUUACUUUUGAUAAAAUUAACUAAAAAGCAACAAAAGCAUAAGUUCUGUGUUUUUCCUCCUUGGCGCCUUUUUUCCUUUGUCUCCCCAGACUGUACAUUUUUGCUCCCUUGGAAAACAUACGUGGGCAUUCAUAAUUAAGAAUUAAUUAAGGGAGUCAGCGUGGAGGACUUUCUGCUCCAUACUUAAUUAGCUUAGAAAACAUUGCCUUGAUAAGCAGAUGGAUCGUUUUUAAAGAGAAAACAGUUCACCCUCCUUUUAGACCUCUAUAAUAAUUCAUUUAAUUAACCUUGGAAGCAUUCUGUAUCUCUUAUGAAUUCCUAGAUACGGAAAUGCAGGAAUGUUUACUGCCCCAUUUUGUGUGUUGUAGCUUAGUUCCUUUGGUUGUGAGGAAUAGUGGCUCUCCAGAUACCCUAGUGGGUGUGGAUGGGGGGCCUUAUUAUAGUGAAGCUGUUACCCAGGCUGGGAUGGGAAAUUCUACAGAAACCACCUGUGUUCUAGGCUAGGGAUCAGUUCCUGUCCAGCAGGUCACAUAUGCUGUUUCUCUCUGUGUAUUUGCUGUUUUCUUCGGUUGCAAUAGACUGGUUUCCCCACUUCCUUAUGCAGCUUCACCUUUACAGUAGCCCUUCAUGGCAGCUCAGGAUGCAUCUCCAGAAUUCACUCCUUUUUCUGGUUCAGUUCCCGCUGCUAAUUGGCAAAGUCUUCCAGUGUUUCUUGGCUUAGAUUCUUAAAAGAGAUAAUCUGCUUGCCCCAGCUUAAAAUUUUGAGCCAGGCCACAAAGAUUGCCACACUGAGGUUUAGCUGUCCUUCAUUUGGGAUCCCGCCCAAGUCCAGCUGUGUAAGUUGGGUAGAUACAAGGUAUGUCCAUGGAUGCUGCAGCUGGGCUGAGAGCAAGGCAGUAUUCUUACAGGGUAUGGACACCUGCCUGAUGCAUCAUAAUAUAUUGUAUGUAUUAGGUUGAUCUAAAGGUUGGCAGUUCAAGUCCACCCAGAAGCACCUUGGCAGGAAGACCUGAAGAUUCACUCUCAAAAAUCGGCCGUUGAAAACCCUGUGGAGCAUACUUCUACUCUGACACACAUGGGGUCACCAUGAGUCAGAAUCAACUCAAUGGCAACUUUUUUUUUUUUUAGGCUCCCUUGACUGUUUCCAUGUUGGAUUUAUCCACCAAAUUCAUUAAGAAGUGUUUCUACAAGAUUUGGGUUUGGUUUUUCAUUUAUCUGUUCUAAUGUAGCACAGUAACAUUUAAAUCACCUCAUUAAUACUUCUUGCCUAAGGCUGUUGAUAUAGUGGUGUGGACUGCAAAGUGGUAUGGUUUUAUUUUAGUUGCUUUUUAUAAUGGGGGAGAGGUAGAAAAAAAAAACAGUUUUUUGUUUUUAAAAGUACUUGGAAGCAAAGAUCGUUGGAAUAAUUAGCCAGUACCUCACAUUAUCUAAAUGAGCUAGUUUGUGAAACUGAGAGAAAACGGGCCUUUGUUAUCAGAGGUAGUUGAUAAUAGAAAUGCCUUUCCCUGGACCAGUGAUUCUAACUUUAAUAUGCAUCAGAAUCACCUGUACCUGUUACCCAUUGCCCUUGAGUUGAUUCUGACUCAUAGUGACUCUAUAGGACAGAAUAGAACUGUCCCCUAGGGUUCCCAAGGAGUGGCUGGUAGAUUCGAACUGCCAACCUUUUGGUUACCAGAUGAGCUCUUACCCACUAUACCACCAGGGCUCCAAGAAUCACUUGUAGGGCUUGUUAAACUAUCAUUUCCUGGUGCCACCGCAUAGUUUCUAAUUAAGUUGGUCUGGGGUGGGGCACUAUAAUCUGCAUUUCUAAUAAGCUGCCUGGUGAUGCUGUUACUGCUGGACUGAACACUGCACUCAGCCUUCAAAUUUAGAAACCUUGGACAAGGCUGUUAACUGGACUUACCUUUUCAGGUUCGCCUUUCCAAGAUGAACCACCUCUUCCAUUGAAUUAUGUGUAAAAAUCACAUUAAAGGCAUUUUCUCCUUAAUUCUGCCUGGAACUUUUAGCUUGCCUUUGCUUCUAUGUUCAGUAAAUAUUUAGUGCCUCUUGUAUACCAAGCAGGGGCUCUGGGGGCACAGUGGUGAAGAGCUGUGGAUGCUUACCAAAAGGUUGGCAGUUUGAAUCCACCAGCUGCUCCUUGGAAAUGCUGUGGGGCAGUUCUACUCUGUCCUGUAGGGUCGCUAUGAGUCAGAAUUGACUCAAUGGCAAUGCGUUUGGUUUUGGUUUUUGGGUAUACCAGGCAUAGUGCUAGGUCCUGGUGGAGUUAAGAAAGACACUUAAUGGAACUGCACAGGAGACACGCAGAUACACAUACGGGGUAUUGGCUGAAACACAAAAUAACAAAUGGAGUUUCUUGUAUCUUAUUUCCCUUCUUAAGAUCCUAUGCGCUGGAGAAAGAUGUGGCAGUCUGCUCCCCUAUUGGGCAGUUCUUCUCUGCCCUAUAGGGUCCACUGUGAAUCCAAAUCAACUCGAUAGCGAUGGGUUUGGUUUGGUUUGGUUGGGGAAGAUCCUGUGCUGGCUGCCCUCCCAUACUGAAGAUAAGAGAUGAAUAACUGGACUUGUGAAGAUUAUUGAAUCCUGACUGAAUGGAACAGGAAAUUUACCAUCACUCUUGGCUUGCUCCCAACCACAGAUGUGAUAACCUUGCCUUCUUUUUCAUCAGACAAGUCACAGAUCAUGUACUUCAGGCGAGAGCUGAGUGAAGAGCUCUUUGGCAGAUCAUGAGUCGAGUCAGUCCUUCCAGUUGGACUUUGAGCCAUUCACCAGCCCAUUUUGGAUAUGGUCAUUAUUAAUUUGCCAGUUGUUCCAUCCGUUUACAGUCUAUUUCUGAAAAUCAGCCAGUGAAAACCCCAUGGAUCACAAUGGACUGAUCUACAACCGAUCGUAAGAGUGGCGCAGGACAGGGCAGCCUUUCCUCCUGUUCUGCAUCUGGUUGCCAUGAGUCGGGGGCCAGCUCAGUAGCAACAAAUUUGCCAUCUAGUCACUAAGAAUGUGAUGAGAACCUUCUCAGAUAUCAUAGUGAAAUCCAGUUCUCUGUGAUCCCUUCCUUAAGUUUACCAAUAGUGUAUCAACAAUAAAAUUUUUAAUUUGUUGGAAUAAAUGGUAAAACCAUGCUAGGUGACUGGAACCUAUUUUAAACCCGCUAACUGCUCUUUUACAAUCUUUUUAUUCAUCUUUACACCUUCUAAAUGUUCUUUUAUACUUUUUGGUCUCUACAAGAUUUUCUUAAGCCAAAUAUAGCUUCAAUCCGUCCCAAGCAGCAGAAAUGCCUCUUCCUUGAUUUGCUAUAUAAAAAUAUUCAUGCUAUUUUAACAAAAAAGCCCACCCCUAAAAGCCUAAUUUUGUUGUCUGUGCAAUAUCUGUAACCCCCAAUUCCCUCUGGGUUUUGGAUUACUGACUGAACAUAUUGGUCCGCGCCAUCCAUCCACUUAUACCGGUUGCCAUCAAGUCGAUUCUGACUCAUCAUCAGGUCGAUUCUGACCCAUCGUCUUGUAGUCAUCCUAAAUGCAUUCUCUUCGGGGAAUUUGCCUUUGUUUGGUUCUGUGCCUUUAUAACUUUCAGCAUGACCUUUUAAGAUCUGAGCAGCUUCAUUGGUUUCCAUAGCAACACUUGCUUCUCAUUAGGAUUUUUUUCUUUUUUAUGAUUGCAUAGUCAGAGCUUCUACAUCUCAUGAAUACUCUUUUGGUUUAGAAUUUGAUGCCCAGAACUACGUUCAUGUUGUCUGAGAAUUCCCAUUGUGUGUUUCACCGCGCAUUGGUUGUGUGAACCGAAAUAGCUGCUUCUGAGAAAGAAACAAUAAGCCUUCUCCCAGGCUUGAAUCCCUGUAUAAAAUACAUAAGAGGGUCCCUUUUAUGCUUGGGAGCUGAAUGGCUAUCACCUGUCCUGUGGCCAGUGCCUGUAGAGGCUUGCCCUGGCUUAUAGGACCCUGGCCGUUUUGCAGAAGAGAGUCACCAGAAUAGCUGGAAUUUGCCUGUGAGCUUUUGUGCCUCUUCCCCUCCUCCUAUAUGUUCUCAUCUUGUAGAAAUCCAAGGGCGAAUGUACAAGUGUUACAUGAUUCAGUAUUGGGACUGAAUUCAGUUUAUUCUUUUUUCUUAACAUGAAAGCACAGAAGCUAUAUAAACAUGUCCAUGCUGUUCUUAAGGUAACAUUGUCAUCUUAACUUUCUUUAAAAGAAGAAGACAUUUGAAAGCAUGGCUACACAGAUGACAAUAUGUAUCACUUUUGGUCUUGGGCCUUCCUAAAGAAGGAAUAAUCUGAAUUUAGGAAAUGGUUCUUGGCAGUCUUGAGUCGGCUGUGUCCCAGUUUACCGGGUCCCAAAUUUUUUUAAGUCUUGAUAAUAGCUUAGAAAGGUUUUUGCAGUAGUGUUUGGGGUGUGCCUUCAAUAUUUGGCACAAAGUAAUAUGGAAGCAGUUGACCAUAUAAAAGGUAGCCAGCUGCCACAACCUCCUGGACAACCUAAACAUGUCUGCACUUUACAUUCAUGUCGUGCUUUUAAAAUUUGUUUGAGUUUAAAAUGUUAAGGGUAUAUACUUAGAACAUCAGGUAGUGGUGAUCCAGGUCCCCAGACCUUUGAAUUAGCCCAGCCCACCUUCAUUCUCCUUUCGUAGUCACUUCCCCCCAUUUGUGUUGCCAUCACCCUGUACUAGCCAUCCUUUUGGCUGAAAUACUGUCACAGUCUACGUGGGCUCCCCACUAUAAUUCGUGUCUCCUUCCAGUUAAUUUUCAAUGCUGGACAGCAGCCAAAAUGAGCUUCUAAAAUACAAGCUAGGUUAUAUCAUUCCCUUGCUUAAAACCCUUCAGUGGCUUCCAAUUGCAUUUGGAAUAAAAACCAAAAUUAUAAAAAAUCUAGAAGGAGGCCCAUAAUCUGCCUGUGAGAUGACUCCAGCUGUAUCUCUUCGCACAGAGCUCCUUUCCCACAGUAUUUUCUGCCUCAGGGCCUUUGUACAUAUAUGUCUCUCUUUGCCUACUUUCACUCCUCUCUCCCUGCUUACCUGACUGACCUCCUGCCUCAGCUUAAAUGUGACUCCUUUAGAGAAGCUUUUUCUGACAUUUUGUGUGUGUGUGUGUGUGCGCUUUAAGUGAAAGUUCAUAGAACAAACUAGUUUCCUGUGUGAUAAGUUUGCACAUAAAGUGUUUCAUGACCUUGGUUUCACCCCCCACAAUGUGUCAGCACUCUCCCCAUUUCCGCCCUGGUUUCCUCAUUUUCUUUCCUCCUGAUUUUCUACCUCUUCCUGCCUUCUCAUCUUUGCUUUUGGGCAGAUAAUGCCUUUUUGAUCUCCUAUAAUUGUUCUAUUGAGUACGUUCCUCUCCCCUGUUAACUGUUGAUCUUAAAUGUGCCUGUCUAUUGUUUGACUGGGAGGUGGUCUCUGGGAAUGGCUUCCUUUCCAGGUCAGAAGGGUAUCUUAUGGCCAUAGUCUUGGGGGUUCCUCCAGUCUCUGUCAGACCAGCAAGUCUGUUUUUUUUGUGUGUGUUUGAUGUUUUUGUUCUGCAAUUGUCUCCCACUCUGUCCAGGACCCUCUGUUGUGAUCCCAAUCAGAGUAGUUGGUGGUGGUAGCCAGGCACCAUCUAGCUCUUCUGGUCUCAGGGUCAGCCAUGUAGGCUGUGAUUCAUUUGGUCUGUUAGUCCUUUGGACUAAUUGCUCCCUUGAGCUUUUGAUCUCCUCACUCUUCCUCACUCUGGGUGGUAAGAGACUGAUAGUUGUAUCUUACUUAGAUGGCCGCUUGCAAACUUUUAAGGUCCCAGGUGCUACUCACCAAAGUAGGUGGCAGAACAUUGUCUUUUUGUACUGUAUUGUGCCAGUUGAUGUAGAUAUCCCCCAAGUCUGUGGUCCUUCGUUUUCCAGCCUAGGAACUUCAUUACGCAAGGUGUUUGGUUAUGUCUAAGAGAUUUUCUUGACUGUAGCCCUUGUGUGCUCUGCGUAAGCUGUACCUGUAGUCAUGUAUGUAGAAAUAUCCACCACCAAACCUGUAUUUGCCAGUGGCUAUGUUCGCUUAUAUCUUCCCAAACCUCUUGGUGUAUCUAUUUGCCUAUUUGCCCAUUUGUAAAUUGCUUCGCCUCUUUGCACGUUACGUAAAAUACUAGUGCUGCAGGAUUGUCUAAGCUAUAGUAGUUACCAUUGUAGCUCUUUAUUCUUGCAUUCCCUCCAUUGUCCUUUCUUGCCUUGGUCAUGUUGUAUUGACUUUCCCCCAUGUUAUGUAUUGCUUUUCCUUCACCAGUAUAAACUUACGUCUUCUAUCUAAUUGGUAACUUUCCACCCCCCUUCCGUCCCUGGUAACCAUAAAAGUUCUUUUUUUUUCUUCCCCUUUAUGUAAACCUUCUGUUGUUACUUUGUAAUAGUGGUCUCAUACAAUAUUUGUCCUUUUAUGAUUGACUUAUUUCACUUAGCAUAAUGUCCUCCAAAUUCAUCCAUGUUAGUGCCAUGUUUUGUGGAUUCAUUGUUAUUCGUUAUCAUUACAUAGUAUUCCACUGUGUGUAUGUACCACAGUUUGAUAGUCCAUUCAUCUGUUGAUGGGCACUUAGGUUGUUUCCAUCUUUUUGCUGUUGUGAAUAGUGCUGAGGUGAACAUGGGUGUGCAUAUGUUUAUUUGUGCCAUGGCUCUGAUUUCUUCAGGGCAUAUACCUAGGAGUGGAAUUGCUGGGUCAUAGGAUAUUUAUAUUUCUAGAUUUCUGAGGAAGCGCCGUACCAUUUUCCAAAGUGAUUGUACCUUUUACAUUCUCGCCAACAGUGUAUAAGAGCUCCAAUCUGCCCACAACCAUGCCAACAUUUGUUAUUUUCUGGUUUUUUGAUUAGCGCCAGUAAUGUUACGGUGAGAUGGUAUGUGAUUGUAGUUUUGAUUUGCAUCUCUCUAGUAGCUAAUGAUUGCGAGCAUAUCUUCAUGUUUGUUAGCCACCUGAAUGUCAUCUUUGGUGAAGUGUCUGUUCAUAUCCUUUACCUGUUUUUUAAUCGGAUUAUCUUUGUAUUGUUGAGAUGUUGAAGCUUUCUAUAAAUUUUAGAGAUUAGUCCCUUGUCAGAUAUGUCUUAGGUAGAAAUCUUUCCUAGUCUGUAGGUUCCCUUUCGACUCUUGUUUUUCUAACAUUCUUAUCUAAAUUAAGACUUGUUAUAUUCUCUCAUAGGUCUUCAUUCGUUUCCAUUUUAGCAAUUACAACAAUUUGUAGUUAUCUACUUAAAUCUUUGUCCCUACAACUGCACAGCUUAUGGAGCUAAAGACCAUGUUUGUUUUAUUUUUUGCUCUAGUCCCACAACCUUUUACAGUACCUGAUGCAUACCCGUACACCCGUUGCCACUGAGCCAAUUCCGACUCAUAGUAACCCUAUAGGAGAGAGUGGAAUUGCCCCAUGUGGUUUCCAAGGAGUGGUUGGUGGAUUCAAACUGCCCGCCUUUUGGUUAGCAGCCAAGUCCCACCAGGACCCCUACAUGAUGCGUCGUAUGUACUAUUUGUUGAAUGAAUGUGUAGAUGAAUAGAUUCAUGCUACGACAUCUUACCGAAUGUGGUAAAAUAGAAAGUGCUCAGAAAUUGCAAUAAAAAGAGGUGAAUUCUUGGCCCUGUUCUGCCAUUUAUCUACUUUGUAACCUUGGAUAAAUCUCGACCUCCCUGUGGUCCAGCUGCUUUUUCUCUUUAAGUUGGAGUUAAUGAUCUUGACCUACUUCUAGGAAGAUGUUGUAAAGAUAAAAUUAGCCAUUUUUUAGAUAAUGUUCUUUGGAAACCAUGUGAUAAAAUGCCUUCUCAUCUUUAACACCAUUGCCCAGCGAAUGACCAGCAUAGAGUGAAGGGAACUGAAGGACCUUGAUGAGCACAAAGACCUGGGGACAGAGCAAAUGCCAGGCACACGAGGUGUGAGUGUAUGUGGUUGAGGAGGGUGUGCAGAACUGCAUCGGGUCAUCUCCGCCCAUGGCCUGUGAUGAGGGAUGUGGAAAAAGAGUGCUAAUUCUUAGGCUUGAUUACCUUACCAUGUCCAUGUGGAGACCAUGUACUGUAGUGGGAAAACACUCAACUCAGAGAUGUCUUGAAAUACUGUCUGAACCCUACCACUGAUCAGGUCUAUGGCCUUAGAAACAUAUAUAAAGUCUGUUUCUUUGUUUCCUUAAUGUAAAAUUGAAAUGAAAAUAGUAAUGUUCUUGCCACUCUUCGAGAAGGAUUGAAUGAAAUAAUGUAUGUAAAAGUUCUUUGGAAAUGCCUAAUAUAUGAGGAAAGUAGUGUUGAAAAUUGUGCAAGAAUUAAUUCAGUAACUGUCCAAAGUGCCUCCUUGGCACACACUGAAUACAUAAAUUCCUUGGUAAUAAUUUUAGUUGAAUUUUUUCAUUUGCAGUUAGAGUACCGUGAACACUGUAACUAUUAUAUGUGGAUUUAUAGAGCCCUUUUUUGGGGGAAAAGAAUUUCCACACUUCCUGAUUGGUCUGAGGGUAGUAUAUUUUGAUCAACACUGAGCAAGAGGGUGACUCUGACUGUAUUUGCAUGGUGACUGCUACAAUGUAUGCAAAUGUAAUUAUCCUUUUCAGCACAGGGCAGUGGUGCAUGUAGGAUAUAAAGUAUCUGGUUGGGAGACUGAGCUGGGAAAUAUGCCUCCAGCUAAUGCCAUUUUUGUAGACUGCCUAUUGACAUCAGUUGAUUUUAAAGUGUACCAAAAGUGGGAAGAUUCAGUCUAUGUCAUUUAUAAAAUUCAUCUUGAUGCCAGACGAAUUAAAAUAUUAAAAGCAGGCCUUAGACCGAAGGACAUGCCCUGCCUUGUUGCCCCUGUAGGUAGGGCUGUACCUUAGUGACGUGGGGAGGUAAAGGCAGGCUGUAACGCAGCAUCUAAAAUUCUGGGCACUUCCUUACUUCCCUCAGAACAUCUCUGUUGAUGGUACUGUGGCCUCAUGUUGCUUUUGACAUCGUAGUACUUCUUUGUUACGAAUUAAAAUGGCUUCUGUAGGUGUGUGACUUUAGGCUUGAGCAGAAGAUCUUUGAAGUUGUGAUCUUCCACUUCACAUCUUUAUACUUUGCCUAAGAAAUUUUGAUGAGAUUGCAGAAGCCAGCAUCUUAUUGUUAAGUUGAUGGGAAAACAUUUAGCAAGAAACUAAAUACUGCAUUUGUUUCCAUAGAUCUAGGUUUUAAAAGCUUGAUAAGAACUGAUAAGAGGAUUUUAUAAAUCCUGGAAAUUAAUAUUAAAUUCCGUGCCCCACCAUGAAAGUUAUAUAUGCUACAGAUCUGCCUUGUGUCAUCCAUAUGUAUUCUUUUGUGUGUGUCUUUUUGUAAUUGAGAUAUAAUUUACAUACCAAAAAUUCACUUUUUUUAAAUUCAGUGGUUUUUAGUACACUCAUAAGGUUGUGCAACCACCACCAUCUAGUUACAGAACAUUUUUAUCACCCCAAAAGAAACCCUGUGCCCACUAGCAGUCACUCUCCAUUCCCUCCACCCUCCUUGCCAGUAGCACCCAGUAAUCUGCUUUCUGUAUCUAUGGAUUUGCCUAUUCUGGACAUUUUGUAUAAAUGCAGUCAUCAAAUAUAUGGCCUUCUAUAUCUGGCUUCUUUCACUUCACAUAAUGUUUUGGAGGUUUAUUUAUAUUGUAACAUGAAUCAGUACCUCAUUUUUAUGACGGAAUAAUAUUUGAUUGUAUGGAUUACCACAUUUUGCUUAUCAGUUUAUCAGUUGACGGACAUUUGGGUUGUUUCCACUUUUUGGCUAUUAUGAAUAAUGCCGUUAUGAACAUUUGUGUACAACGUCUUGUGUGAACAUAUGUUUUUAGUUCUUUUGUUUAUAUACCUAGCAGUGGAAUUGCUGGGUCAUAAUGAUAACUUUUUAAGGAACUGCCAAACGAUUAUCCAAAGUGACACACCAUUUUACAUUUCCAUCAGCAAUGAACAAGGGUUCCAAUUUCUUCAUAUCUUUGGAUGUCUGAUUAUAGUCAUCCUAUAUUGGGUGUGAGGAAACCCUGAUGGUGUAGUGGUUGAGUGCUACGGCUGCUAACCAAAGGGUCAGCAGUUAGGAUCUGCCAGGCGCUCCAUGGAAACUCUAUGAGGCAGUUCUACUCUGUCCUGUAGGGUUGCUAUGAGUCGGAAUCGACUCGACGGCACUGGGUUUGGUUUGGUAUUGGGUAUGAAGUAUCCUUUUAAUUUAUAUUUUCCUAAUAACUAAUGAUUUUCCGAUUCAAUAUCAUUAAUAUCACACGCAAGCAAAAUUUUUCUGAAGAUUAUUCAGAAAACAGCUGCAGCAGUAUAUUGACAGGGAACUGUCAGAAAUUCAGGCUGGUUUCAGAAGAGGAUGUGGAACCAGAAAUAUCAUUGCUGAUGCCAAAUGGAUCCUGCUGAAAGCAGAGAAUACCAGAAGGAUGUUUACCUGUGUUUUAUUGACUGUGCAAAGGCAUUCGACUGUGUGGAUCUUAACAAAUUAUGGAUAACAUUGGGAAGACUGGGAAUUCCAGAACACUUAAUUGUGCUCGUGAGGAACCCUUAUAUAGAGCAAGAGGCAGUUGUUCAGACAGAACGAGGGGAUACUGAUUGGUUUAAAGCCAGGAAGGUGUGCGUCAGGGUUGUAUCCUUUUACCAUACCUAUUCAAUCUGUAUGCUGAGCAAAUAAUCUGAGAAGCUGGACUAUAUGAAGAAGAAUGGGGCAUCAGGAUUCGAGGAAGACUCAUUAACAACUUACAUUAUGCAGAUGAUACAACCUUGCUUGCUGAAAGUAAAAAGGACUUGAAGCACUUACUAAUGAAGCUCAAAGACCACAGCUUGUAUGGAUUGCACCUCAACAUAAAGAAGACAAAAAUCCUCACACUGGACCAGUGAGCAACAUUAUGCUAAACAGAGAAAAGAUUGAAGUUGUCAAGGAUUUCAUUUUACUUGGGUCCACAAUCAACACCCAUGGAAGCAGGAGUCAGGAAAUCAAAAGAUAUUGCACUGGGCAAAUCCACUGCAAUAGACCUCUUUAAAGUGGUGAAAAGCAAAGUUGUCACCUUGAAGACUAAGGUGCGCCUGACCCAAGCCAUGGUAUUUUCAAAUGCAUCAUAUGCAUGUGAAAGCUGUACAAUGAAUAAGGAAGACCAAACAAGAAUUGAUGCCUUUGGAUUGUGGUGUUGGUGAACAAUAUUGAAUAUACCAUGGACUGCCAAAAGAACAAACAAAUCUGUCUUGGAAGAAGUACAACCAGAAUGCUCCUUAGAAGUGAGGAUGGCAAGACUGCGUCUUCCAUACUUUGGACACGUUGUCAGGAGGGAUCAGUCCCUGGAGAAGGACAUCAUGCUUGGCAGAGUACAGGGUCAGCGGAAAAGAGGAGGACCCUCAGCGAGGUGGAUUGACACAGUGGCUACAACAAUGGACUCAAGCAUAGCAAUGGUAAGGAUACGCAGGACUCGGCAGUUUUUUGUUCUGUUGUGCAUAGGAUCGCUAUGAGUCGGAACCGACUCGUUGGGACCUAACAACAAUAACUGCAAUAACUAAUGACAUUGAGCAUCUUUUUAUGACAAUUUGUAUCUCUUCCUUGGAGUAAUGUCUGUUCAAAUCUUUUGUGCAUACAUCCUUUAAAAAUUUAAUCUCGACAUGAAGUCCCCUGUGUGUUCCUCAGCCUAGGAACCAACCUAUCUUCCUCCCGUCUUCCCUACCCUAUCCCAUUUAAAGACCCUCUUGUCUUAUUGCCAAAGCAAGAAACGUGGGAAUCCUCUCCUCUCACCCUUUCAGCACGUCUAACCUGUUACAAUGUCCUGUAGAUUCUCCCUCCUUAGUAUCCCUCAGCUCCAUCCUUUCCUCCAUUCCCACUGUCACCGCCUUGCGUCAGACUCUCCUCCCAUCCCUUCUGGACAACUGGAAUGAUCUCCUCACUAAUCUUCCUACCUACAGCAUGUCUCUCAUCUCUCUUCUAUGCUAUCUGCAGCAAACCUGAUGGCUGAAAAUCCUUCCAGGGUUCCCCAAAGCCUGUAGGCUAACAGACUUGUGAAGGUAGCCCACGAGUCCCCAGCUCCUUCCCUUUUUAUGUGUCCAAAAUUUCCUCAAAACAGACUUCAAUAAUAGGGAACCCAAGGUUGAGAAGGGAGAGUGUUGAUUUGUCAUGGCUUGGUAACCAAUGUCACAAAACAAUAUGUGUGCUAACUGUUUAAUGAGAAGCUAGUUUGUUCUGUAAACCUUCAUCUAAAGUACAAUUUAAAAAAAAAAAAAAGGUUUAAGAUUGGCUUCUCUGGAUGCCCUCUCUGACGUGGCAUCUCCUUCCCAGUCAGGUUUUGUGUUUUCCUUGCCUCUGCACCUACAAUACCUGCCCAUACUUUUGCCAUAGCACUUGCCUUACAGUGUUCUGUAAUAAUUGUGGGAUUUUUGUAUUGUUUUAUAUUUGUUGUUGUUUUUCUAUCUCAAUACUUUUGGUAGUUUCUGGUAUAUAGUAAACGCUCAAAUAUUUAUUCAACAAAUAGCCACCUAAGCACCCAUAAUGUGCCAGGCCCUGUGCUGGGUAUUCAGGUUGUCCAGACAUGGUCCUACCCUCUAGAUAAAGGUAGUAUAAGGCAGCUUGUAAAGAGUGAACAGAAGGCAACCCAGAGAAGAGUCUAGAGCAGGAGUAGUCCAGCAAAUGGUACGUGUUUGAAAGCCUUGAAGAAGAAAAUACCAUGGGGUGUCUGAAGACCUGAAAAAAGGACAGUGACUAGAAUUGGAAGGCGUACUCUCCUGCCUGGUGAUAAGCUCAUACAGGGGUUUUAAGCCAGGUUAAGGAACUUUAGAUUUAAUCCCAAGUGCAUUAAGAAGCCAUUGAAAGAAUUUUGAGCAGGAGAUAGGAUCCUGUUUUAAGAGAGAUCUUGUAUAUAGUGAUUGUUUUAGAGGGUGGUGGGGGUAGAAGUAGGGAAGCAGCAUACAGAUAGCAUGAUAUAGUGGUUAAGACAUGGAUUCUGGGUUCAAAUCCUGUCUGUGUUACUGUGUGAUCUAGGGCAAGUUACUCAGCCUCUCUGUGCCUCAGUUUACAAUCUGUAAAAUAGAAUCAUUAAUAUUACAUGCAUUUUUGAGUUCUGAGGAUUACACUAAUAUAUGUAAAGUAUUUAGAACAAACCUUGGCGCAAAUUAAAAAUUAAAAUUCAAACACAUUAUCUGCGCUGAGAUUAGUUGUUACAAAAACAGCAAAUUGUUCAACCAAAAAAAACCAAACCUGUUGCCGUCAAGUCGAUUCCGACUCAUAGCGACCCUACAGGACAGAGUAGAACUGCCCCAUAAGGUUUCCAAGGGGUGGCUGGUGGAUUCAAACCACCAACCUUUUGGUUAGUAGCUGUAACUCUUAACCACUGCACCAUCAGGGCUCCCAAACAGGGGUCAGUAAAUUGAUGUUGAAUGGAUGCCAACCUAGUUUUUUAAGUUCAGCUGUUGAUUUUUUUAUUCAGAGGAGGGGUUGGGUUGGAAAGUGUUGCCUUUAGCCUGGUUUCCUCUUCACGGCCAGAACAGUGCAGAUCUUACCAGGAGAAGAUGCAGGCCGUGACUUCAGCCCAGUCAGUGGUGCAGGAAGAGCUGCUCUGACGGCAGUGGCAGGAAGCAGGCACCAGCACAGGACCCACACGUUCAAUGUUACCUGCUCCUUAAAGGGACUAUAUAUCAUGAAUCCCUUUAUUUCUGGAUUCAGUUUAUGGGAAUGUAUAGUGACCAGAGGAGACCCAUGGUUUUGGAUACCUGCCCUGUAGGAAAUCUGAUUUCCCUUCAGCUGUUCUUGGUAUUAAGGGAAAACUAAUAAUCGUAAUUGCUUUCAGGCCCUGGUACCACACUGGAGAUUCAGGUCAAGGCAGGACAGGAGUCACUGUGCAUUUGGCAGACUUUAGUUACCUACACUGCUCCUACCCUGUUGGGGUCCCACAAUACUAGUACACUUUGUUGGAAGUGGUAAUGUAUUGAGACCAUGAUGGCAAAAUGGAAACAGAACCAGCCCUCUGGAUCCACCCUUGAACAUAAUAUGGGUAUAUUAUGUCAGCUUGUGUGGCGCUCGGGGAGAGGCAGUGCAUUUUGCUUAUAGUACUGCUCUUUGGACAUCAUAAGCAAAUCACAAAAGAAUGAUUGCUUUCUUUGCUGGAUAAAUGUACUCCUAAGAUCUUUCUGGAAGAGGAAGCUGGUUUAAAGUAAUCGUAUCAUCUGUGAUGCUGGCAUAGAGUGUUUCGUUUCCUUGUAUUUAUAUUUAGCACUAAAAUGAGUACGUGGGAGGAGGCAGGAAGGUAAACUCAGGAACAAGGUGGACAAGAGGGUGAGACAAUCAAAGGAGAAAUUUUCACGAUAAAUUUGAAGGACCAUUGAUCUGGUGUAAAAUAGAAUUUUCACCGCUCCUAACAUAUAGUAAAUGACUGAUUAUCUGAAGUGAGCACCGUGGAGAUAAAGGCCUCAGAGCUAUGACUUAGCAGAUUAAAAGUCUGAGCCAAAUUUUAGUGUUCCGUAUCUAGAACCUAUAUUAAUAAUAAACUCUUCAUAAUCAGGAGGCAGAUUGCAAAUUACCAUGCUCUGCCUUGUUGUUUUUUUUUUUUGGCCUUAAGUUCUGUGAGCAUUUGAGGAUCAAGUCAGCUGUUCUGUGCAUUUUUCUGGCUUGUGAAUGACCUGCAGGCAAGGCCGAAACUGGGAGGUAUUUAUAGAAUAAACAUUUGUGGAAUGCCCACUGUGUGUAAACCCUGAGGCAGGAGGGGAAAGGGUAUGGGAACUGGAAAGUACUGCUUAAGUACUGCUUAAGACAGACUUCAAAGGAGCUUGUCCUUUAAGGGUACACGUCACGUCACGGAGUCAGAAUAGAGAAAGGGCAAGGCAGCUGUAUUAGUUAUCUAUUGCUGUGCAAUAAGUUCCCAAAACUUCAUGGCUCAAAACAUAUCUCACAGUUUCUGCAGACCAGGAAUCCGGGAGCAGCAUAUCAAGGUGGUUCUGGCUGAGGGUCUUUCAUGAGGUUGCCAUCCAGAUGUUGCCUAGGGCCAGAGUCAUGUGAAGGUUUGACUGAUGCUGGAGGGACCCCCUUCUGAGAUGGCUUACUCACAUGGCUUGCAAAGUUAGUGUUAGUUAUUGGCAGGAAGCCUUAGUUCUUUGCCAUGUGUCCUCAACGCCAUGGCAGCUGGCUUCCUUGGAGUGAGUGAUUCAAGAGAAAGAGCAAGGAGGAGGCCUUGAUGCGUUUUGUUACUUAGUAACUCACUCUACUGGGCAGUGUUUUGUUCUGUUGUGCAUAGGGUCGUUAUGGGUCGGAACCGACUCGACAGCACCUAACAACAACAAUAACACUUCUGCGAUAUUUUAUAGAAGUAAGUCAUGAAGUCUUGCCCACACUAAGGGAAUUAGGCUCCACCCUUCAAAGGGAGAAGUGUCAAAGAAUUUGUGGACAAAUUGUAAAACCACCAGAGGUGCUCGGUGUGACUUUGGGGAAGUGCCAAAGUCAGUGCUCCAAUCUGGGUGCUGGAAGGGCUAGGAUCCCAGUUUUUUUUUUUUUAAUCCCAAUGGGAUAGAAGGACAUCAGAAGGACAGCGGGCCCUGCUAACAUCAAGGGAUAUAUAAAGAAGCUUUACACUUGUCUCUUUUAUCUUUCCCUCUUUGUAUCUCUGUGCUCUAAUGACACACCCACUCUGGGCCUGACAUGCUAAAUGGACUUCUUGGAGGGGAUACUUGCAGUUCACCAUAGACCUUUGCUUAUAUAAAUACGUGUUAGAAAAAAGGCCCUUGUGCUGAGUUGAAAGUUUAGGAGACUUCUGAAGGAAGUAAGCUGCUACCCAAGAGUCAUUGUGACCAUUCUAGUUCAACUCUUCUUCCAUUCUUCACAUGUAAAAUAAAGAUUUAUUACUGGCCAAGAACAAUUUGGGUGCUCAGUUGAACUUUAUAGGGGGUCUGAAAAAUAUACUUUUCUAUAUUCAUCUCUAACUGGAGAGAGAAUCCUAUUAGAAGUAAGGCCCUUAAUAACCAGGAAGGGAGGGAAGAAAUAAUAAAGGGCCUGAGUAAGUGAUCCAGAGGGAUGGGGUAGGAAUUCAAAUAAGGGUGAGAUCCACAUGGGAAGGUUUGGGAGCAGGUAGGUUAAAACCAGAAGCUGGGCUCUAAAGGAAAUACAGUAUUUGACUAGAUUAGGAGAGGAGGGGGAGGACAUUACAGGUGGGAGGAGGGAGAGCAAUAUGAACGAUUGUGUCUCAAGAUGGCAAUCUGUGGGAUGGUUGGAGGCCAGCUGGCUUGAAUAAAGCAGCUAUUCUGGAGGAGUAGAUCGAAUGAAGACCUUUUGAAGAGCCUGAACCUAUUUCAGAUCCUUGUCAGAUUACUAAAUAUGCUGAAAAGAUAAGAUCUUCUUAGAGGGGGCUUCUUUAUAAUCCCUCCCUGGUGACAGACAUAGUCUUCGAUCUUAAUUAGAGAAAAUGAACAAAAGGAAAAAUAAUCAUCUACAAGAUUUGGCUGUAAGAACGUUCUUCUGAUCCUAAUGUUGUCGUCGUGUGCCAUCGCCUCGGUUCUGACUUAUAGCAACCCUAUGAUAUGACAGAGUAGAACUGCCCGUAGGGUUUCCUAGGCUGUAAACUUCAAGGAAGCAGACUGACACAUAUUUCGUUGACAGGGCAGCUCUUGGGUUUGAACUAUCCACUUUUUGGUUAGCAGCUGAGUGCUUAAGCAUUGCGCAAGCAGGACUCCCUUGACCCUAUUGAGGGGUGGAUAUAUUUCUGAACUACAAGUUCCAUGUGGUCAAAUAUUUGGUAUUGAUGGCAGUUUAUCAUUUUCCAUUGUGAGUGCUCAAAUUACCAUCUUUUACCAUCUUAGAGCCAUGCUUUUAAAAAAAAAAAUAUUGAGACUCAUUAAACUUAGAAAUUAUUUUCAAAGGUGAUGCAGGGGAGACAAUGUAUACCAAUAUGUGCCUUUUCUUGAGGCUUCUUUGGGUCAAAGCCCAUUUCUCAUUGUGGGAAAGGAUGAUUUUACUAAUAUCAUAUUAUUUAAAAAACAAAAACAAAAACCUGUUGCUGCCAAGUCACUUCCGACUCAUAGCAACCGUAUAGGACAGAGUAGAGCUGCCCCAUAGGGUUUCCGAGGAACGACCGGUAGAUUCGAACUGCUCACCUUUUGGUGAGCAGCCAAACACUUAACCAUUUCGCCACCAGGGUUUCCAGUAUUGUACCAGUGUACAUAAAUUGAGCUCUGGUGGCACAGUGGUUAAAGUGAUUGCUAACCAAAAGAUCGGUGGUUUGAAACCUCCAGUGGCUCUGAGGGAGAAAGAUGUGGCAAUAUGCUUCUGUGGAGAUUUACAGCCCUGGAAACCCAAUGACGUUGCUAUGAGUUGGAAUUGACAGGAUGGCAGUGGGUUAAUAUUGUACCAGUGUACUUAAAUCUGUUCUGCUGUUAUGUGAUAAUUGUGGCUUUAAUAGAAGUUAAUUUAUUGUAAACAAAAUUUAAGAACUUGUUUCUCAAAAGGAAAAGAAGAGGGCUAAGGAAUAAAGUACUUAGCCAUUGCACUCUGCUGCUAACCAAAAGGCUGGCUCUUCAAACACACCAAGUGGCUCUGUGAGAGAAAGACCUGGCAAUCUGCUUCCAUAAAGAUCACAAGGCAGUACCUACUACUAGUGAAGAUUGACUUGAUAGCACUCCACAACAACAAGGGAUACAGAGAGGCUCAGAAUUUUUAUUGGUUGAAUGUGCUUUAGGUGGAAGUUUACAAAUCAAGUCAGUCUCUCACAAAAAGUUAUACACACACCUUGCUAUGUACUCCUAGCUGCUCUCCGCCUAAUGAGAAAGCACAUUCCUCCAAGAGGGGUUCAAAUUUGCUAAGUUAAUUUUCCUUUAUAAAUUUUAAUAAGAAAGAAGUUUUCAUAUAAUUCUAAGUAUAUUUUGUUACUGCAAAAUAAAAGUAAAUUGAUUAAUCCAAACUGACAAGAACAAUCCUAAAUAUCAUUGAGCAAGUCUCAAAGGGCACAAAUGACCAGACAAAAUCAGCAAGUGUUUGUUAGCACAGUUCAUAAAUCUCAGUGGUGCACAUGAAAUGUCAGCUGAGCAGCCAGCCACUCCAGGUUCACAUUACCGUAUUUCUUCAAGCGCAAUGCCUAUUCCCGAUUUUUUCACCAAUAUCGCCCCUCAUGAAUUACGGGCCCUGAUUCAAUGGUAAUGUGUUUGAAUUUCUUAAUGUAAACUUGCUCCAUAGAAGAAAUUUCCACCUUAUUUUAUUGCCUCUGCAGAGCCCUGGUGGCACAGUGGUUGAGAGCUUGGCUGCUAACCAAAAGGUCAGCAGUUUGAAUCCACCAGCCACUGCUUGGAAACACUAUGGGGCAGUUCUACUCUGUCUUAUAAGGUUGCUAUGAGUCAGAAUCGACUCUACAGUGAUGGGUUUGGUUUUUGGUUUGGCUUUAUUGCCUCUAGCUAGACCAGGGUUUCUCAAACUCAGCACUAUUGACAUUUUGGGCCAGAAUUCCUUGUUGUGGGAGGUGGUCCUGUGCAUUGUAGGAUGCUUAGCACCAUCCAUGGCCUCUACCCACUAGAUGCCAGUAGCAUCUUCCUCACCUGGUUACAGCAACCAAAAAUGUCUCCAGGUAUUGCCAAAUGUCCCCUGGGGGCUAAAAUCACCCCUCUUGAGAACCACUGCUCUCAACUAAGUGAGAGCACUGGCAUUUUCAUGUGAAAAACAAAAUUAUAACAUUGAUGUGUACAGAUGGAGCUAGAAAAGACCCUUGUGUUCUGCCAUUAGGUGUACAGUUUUCUCUCAGUUUUUAUUUAUCAGGGGCCUCAAUAUUGGAAAAAGUAUUGGAGAUGAAAUUGUUGUUAGGUGCCGUCGAGUUGGUUUUGACUCAUAGCGACCCUAUGUACGAUGGAACUAAACACUACCCAGUCUUGCAGCAUCCUCACAAUUGUUAUGUUUGAGCCCACUGUUGCAGUCACUGUGUGAAUCCAUCUCAUCGCGGGUCUUCCUCUUUUUCACUGACCCUCUAUUUUACCAAGCAUGAUGUCCUUCUCCAGGGACUGAUCCUUCCUGACAACAUGUCCAAAGUAUGUGAGACGAAGUCUCGCUAUCCUCACUUCUAAGGAGCAUUCUGGCUGUACUUCUUCCAAGACGGCCUUGUUUGCUCUUCUGGCAGUUCGUGGUAUAUUCAGUGUUCUUCACUUACACCACAAUUCAAAGGCAUCAUUUCUUCUUAGGUCUUCCUUAUUCAUUGUCCAGCUUUCUCGUGCAUAUGAGGCAAUUGAAAAUAUCACGGCUUGGGUCAGGCACACCUUAGUCCUCAAAGUGACAUCUUUGCUUUUUAACACUUUGAAGAGGUCUUUUGCAGCAGAUUUGCCCAGUGCAAUGCAUCUUUUGAUUUCCUGACUGCUGCUUUCAUGAGUGUUGAUUGUGGAUCUAAGUAAAAUGAAAUCCUUGCUUGACAACUUCAGUCUUUUCUCUGUUUAUCAUCAUGUUGCUUAUUGCUCCACUUGUGAGGAUUUUUGUUUUCUUUAUGUUGAGGCGUAAUCCAUACUGAAGGCUGUAGUCUGAUCAUCAUCAGUAAGUGCUUCAAGUCCUCUUCCCUUUCAGCAAGCAAGGUUAUGUUAUCUGCAUAAUGCAGGUUGUUAAUGAGUCUUCCACCAUUCCUGAUCCCUGAAUUCUGCUGGCUUAUUGGGCAAGAAUAACCUUUGUCAACCUCUGUGACUUUAUUUCCUCAUCUGUCAAAUGAGAGAAUAUCCCUAAGCCCCUUUCCAGCUUUAAAAUGAAACCAUCUUGUGGAUAAUAAAUAGGAGAUCUGCCUUUAUAACUCAAGCCUAAAGUCUUCUCAGUGUUGUGUAGGACUCUUUCUAAGGAUUUGUUCUUUCAUGUAUUAUUUUUCCAAACCCUUCCCCUCCCCCCCCAAAACAAACAAAACCCGUUGCCGUCAAGUUGAUUCUAACUCAAAUGCACUUUCCUAAUAGUACCCAUUUCUUUCCCAAAUAUUAGUUCUUGAAUCUUCCCUUUUGUUUAAUUUGACUGAGGCUAAUAUGUCUUAAAACAACAACAAAAACAACCACAUAGUGCCGGAUUCUUACUUAACAAUUAAACCUAAAAAUGUCUGAAGUUAGAUUUAUAGAGAAUGAUAAUAUAAUUUGCAUAUAUCUGCUUUCUUUUGGAGCAUGCUGAUAUAAUGGAUACAUUUCCUGAAGCAUGAAAGUCAUUCAUUUGAGAAUUCACGUCUGAGAAAUGGAAUGAUGUAAUCAGCAACAUAACCAUAGAAUUAGAAACCCCUUUGUAUUUUGAAUAAGUACCUCUGAAUAGAGAUAUUUGGCUUAUAAAGUCUGCAUAUGUGGAUAACAGGGGUAGUUGAAGUUAUAAUUAUUUUUAUUUGUAUAGCUAUGUAAAGUGGAAUUAAUUUUGUCCAAUGGAAUUUCAGUGAAUUUAAACUUGGAGUAUUUCUUAGAGCUGUAUGAUACUGUCUACUUUGGAGAGGACAAAACUUCAUUAAAAAAUUUUUAUUGAAUUUUCACCAAAGCAUUUUUAAAAAAUUGAAUGAUGUGUGUUAAACGUAACAGUAAAGGACAAAUUGAGGCUUUACUGUAUCUCUGCCUUUUAUAUAUGAGAGAAUGAUUGAAAUUUCUGACUAAUGGAUUUUCUCAGGAUACUUUUUAAAGUUGACUCCAUGAAUCAUGUUUCUAAAUAAAAUACCAAAGUGGCUGAGUUUGUUUUUUUUUUUUUUUACUACUGCUAGGUUUGUCUCGUCAGGGAAGGUAUGUAGCUAUGUGUGAAUUUAUGAAAGCUGUACAUCAAGCUUGCUGGGGUUUUUUACAUUCUUUUUUUUCCAAGUUCCUUUCCAUUUUGCCCUUAAGGAAGUAAUAUUUUAAAAUGUAUGAGCUAUGUCAUAAAAAACAAAAUCUUUGAAAGAGGCAUAAUUAUCAUAUAUCAUUCAUGUAUCUGAAAGCCUUGCAGUUUUGGAUAGAAGGCUCAGAUGCCUUCCCUUCAGUUUGUUACUCUCCGACACUAAUGUCUACUUAAAUCAGAGGGCUAAUGUGUAAUGACCCUGGGUGAUGCAAACAGUUAACACUGUUGUAGGGAAAAAACAACACAAAGUUUAGUAAAGCAAAAAGAAAGUUUUAUUCGGCAUAUAUUCAAAAAGACAAAAGUUGAGAAGUAGACAAGUAUGCUGCCAGAGCUAAUGUCUGCCCAAGUCUAAGGAAAUAUUACAGGGUAAGCAAGAAUGGGAAAACAGACAAGCAAGUUUCACAGCCAUGUUUGCCCGAAUCCAAGGAACAUUGCAGAAUAAACAAGAAUGGGAAAAUGGACGAGCAUGCUGCCACAGACAUGUCUGUCCAUGUCCAGAGAAUAUUACAGAAUAAACAAGAAUGGGAAACUGGACAAGCAUGCUGCCACAGCCAUGUCUGUCCAAGGCCAAGGAAGAUUACAGAGUCAUCAGUACAUAUUAACAUUACAAAUGGGGCAAAACCAAUUAAAGCUUCACCUUUUCACAGAUUGGCUGGAAAUUGUCAUCCUACAUUUUGAAUUGUCUUUUUUAAUGAUCAUUCAUACAGGUUUCAGUAAGGAGGAUCUUCAUUGGUCCAACAAAUUUCUAUUCGCUAUAUGUUAAUAGAAAAAGAUAAGAGUGGAAAGUCUUUUGUGUUCUGGUUUAUGUAAAAAGUUCCCUAGAAGACAUUUUCCAAGAUUAUUCUAUUGUCCUUAUCUCAGGGCCCAAUUGAUGUGUCCUUGUGAGCUCUCAUGAUCCCAACUCCAGCUGGGUCACAUUCUCUACGCUCAUACGCUCAAGGACAGUAUUAUUUCCUAAAUCAACACUCAGCUGCUAACCACAAGGCUAGAGGUUCAGUUCCACCCAGAGAUGCCUUGGAAGAAAAUCCUGGUGAUCUACUUCCAAAAAAUCAGCUGUUGAAAACCCUGUGGAGUAUAAUUCUACUCUGACAGACAUGGAGUUGCCAUGAGUAGGAAUGGACUCAACAGCAACUGAUGAUAUGUAGUAAAAAGCCCUUGUAUCUGUGCUUUUGUGCACAAACCGCUCAGGAAGGUCUUGUCUUCUAGCUAGUAACUCUCGCUGUCUUCUCAUCACUGUCAUCCUCUGACAAGAGCCCCCACUUUCCCUGGGAGGAGUAUGUCUUGGAGGCAGCCACAGACCCUAUCCCCCAAGUGCUUGAACUGCCUUCUUCCCAAUGGAUUCUGUUUAAGGUUUCAUCCUUUUUUUUUUUCAGCAACCCCCACUCUCUGGGCUUUCUGUGAUCCUAGUUCUAUUACUAUUCCAGGUUUAAAACUCCAGAGCAGAGUUUCUCUGCUGUUUGGUUUACUAUAUCUCAGAAGGCUGUAAAGUAACAAUUGGGAAAGUUGAUGACACAUGGUCUAGAUUUGCCUGUAACUGUAUCUUGUUUGGCUAUAAAGUUUUAAAAAAAUCUAUAUAUUUUCCAUAAUAUAGAUUCUUGGCUUCUCUUGAAAUGCCAGAGACUUGGCAACACUGAGCUGCAGUCCUAUAAUCGGGUACAGCUGGGUAUAGCUGUCCCCUAUUAGAAGAGGCACGUGUUCUCCAGUUGCCCACAAUCACCACUUGUCCUCCAUAUACUAUUCUGGCCCAGGAGAUGUUUGCUCUAAGGACUUGAGAUGUGCUGCUUACUUCCAGGAAGUUCUAGCAGUGAUGGUCCACUUCCUCACCUUCCUCUUUCCCUACAACCAUAUGGUUUCUCUUCUGGAAGAAAAAUAUCUACUAUUGGAGUAAACUGGAGAGUAAGCAUGUAUCUGAAUCUACAGAUGUGCUAGGGAAAUGGAGAAGCAACUUGUACAAAGUAGUUACAAAGUCAGUACAAUGAGAAAUAAUUUAACAAAUAGAGGAAGGGAAUGUGAUAAACGUUAGCUGUGGCCAACCCAUUGUUGUCAACUCCAUGUCUGAAGGUUCUGGAGUUUGAAUGAAACUGUUAUCUAGUUAUAGUUACCAGGCUUGAAACUUGUAAAUUUGUUUCGAACACUUAAUUUUAGUGCUUCAUGAUGGCAUUCUGUGAUUGACUGCCACUGGGCCAAGCACUUUGCAGAAGUUCUGUCAAGGCCUGGUAGGAAGGAGCCUGGAAGGAUGUUAGUGAUGGUAGCCCUUAUUCACAGAGAACUUGAGGCUCAAGGCUCAUUUUGCUAGUAAGGGACAAGAUGGAAUUGUAACCCAGUCUAGUUUGACUUAAAACUGUUGGGUUCUCAGCAUACCUCACUGCCUGUCUUAGUAAAUUUCAGAUGUCAUAUCGUUCGUAUCAUACUUCAUUGUGGUUAGGUAGGCUGAGACUCCGUUUUAUGAUCUGGAAGAAUGGAGGUAAUGCCUGCUCUUCCUGCCUCACAGGAUUCUUGGAGUGUUGGUUGAGGUGAUGUACAUGGAGGUGCUGGAUACAUAACGAAGGGCUAAGUAACUAGAAGGGGGUGUAGCUCCAUUUUCCUACAUUUGGUUCAUUGGUGCUAAGCUCCAUCAUUUAUAUGGCCAGAAGCCUUACUAGCAACAAUUCAACCUGCUGUAAAUUAGAGAAGAGGAUACUGGAAUACAGUCCUUUAGAAGGCGGAGGUUAUGGUUUUGGUGUAAAUUCGGUCUUUACCUUUGGAAAGAAGAACACGGAGGUCUGCUCAACUAUUUGGCAGUAAGCUAUAGGAAGAGCAUUAGAUAGGAAUUCAGUUCUUCAUCAUCGGAGUCGUUGCUUUGUGGCCUUGGAAACUUUUCUGGGACACUUUUCUGUAAUCCAGUUUCUUUAUCUGAAACAUGAGACAGUUCAUACAAAUCAUUUCCAUAGUCCCAGCUCUGAUUUUCCACAAUCAUCAAUUAAAGUGACAUUGAGCUGUAUGCCUGUUUUGAUAGUUUCUUGAUUUUUAUGAUGAAUAUUUAUCAAGGCAGCCUUGCAAGGAAUACUUUCAAAGCUUUCAAUUGUUAGUUGCUUUUAACCAUACCCACCACCCCAAAGGACAAACACACUUGCACACUUGCUCAUUUAGCCUCUUGGGUUUAUGAAGAUCUCUGUUAGUGCAUGCUUUUUAUUCCUUUUUAAUUCUGUGUUUCUGACUUCUUGAACGUCAUUUAAGAAGAGAAAGAGAAGCCUCUUGAAGAAAUCCUAGCCAGAGGCUCUCAGCAACAACAGAAGUGCCCUCUCCUAGGAUGAGGGGCUUUGUUCUUUGGGUUCUGAAGGGGCCUGGUGCCAAACUUGAAUGUCAGAUGAUAGCUCUAUUUCUUUUCAUUCAGGUGAUCUACUUCCCAACUUCAGAUAUUUGAACGCACAAUGCUGAAGGCUUUUUCAUUUGUGAUUGUUACAUAAGACAAUGAGCAGGAUGAAUUUGGAAGAGGAAUUAGGCCAUUACUCCACUAACUGGUGUGAAUGAGCAGCUAUUUAGAGCUCAGAUUACUAGCUGCAGAUGUGAAAGGACCAUUUUCUGUGAUUUGCUGAGACAGUUAACUUCCUCCAAAUGUGGACAGUGCUGUUAUUAGAGAUAAGGCAUCACUGCUGUUUAAAAUGCAAGCCACUGCAGGGUUCUUUUUGAAAACAGAAAUUUAAGUGUCUUGGUUUACCUGUGGAGCGGGAAGAGGGACAAAUUUGAACAAAUUACUGAUUAUACAUAGGUAGUUGUGACUUGAAUAUAUUUGAGACUCAGACCUUGCUUUUUAUAUACUAUUCCCCCCAUGUUUUCAGUAUGAAUGCUAAUAAGGAACUAGAAUUGAAGAUCACAUGCUUCCUGGAGGCUUGUUUUCUAAUUAAGUCACUUCCUUAGGAGAAACCUCUCAUGUCCCUUCCAGGGGUAUCAUUUGUAGCCUAUAUUUAAGCAAGAUACUCCUCCCUGGUUAGGGAAUUUUUAUAUUUCCCAGUAUUCAAAUUGUCACCUUCUUGCUACUAACUUAGCUUUUGAUUUCAUGGACUGUGUCAUAAUUUUUGUUUGUACAUAAUCCUUUGAGGCAAAUGAUGACAAAUUACGUGUACCUUUUUAUGUGUGACGAUUAGAGGUUUGAAAGAAAUAAAAUCUUUAAACUGGCUUUUAGAUGAUAUUCUUCCUGAAACGCUAUUAAAAUUUUUUUUGCGCCCGUUUACUGCUGCCCUACCAAUCUGGCAGAGCGUGAGGUAAAACAGCACCUCUGUUUUACCAAAGCAAGUGUUAUAGCUGGGGGAAAAAACUGUCAACAGUCAUUAAAAUAUAUGGUAAUAUUUACUUAUAUCUCCUUAUCUGUUGAAGGCCUUGAGGAAGCUGUAGAUUAACAACCUUUCCUUUCAAUUGAAUAAUACACACAGAGCAAACUACGCUUAUAAGUGUCAGGGAAGGAAGAGUUUUUAAAGUGUGGGCAUACCUGACCGGAAACCGUAGGAAGGGCCGGAAACGUAGGAAGGACCGUUUGCCCACGAUUGCUCCAAGAUCGGGAUGAGGGCAGUGGAAGGGAGAGGUGGCAUAUUCAAAGGUAGUUGCUGCAAAACAAACUUUUAUCAGGGAAGUUGUACAGUCGAUUUUUAAAAACAAAGAAAAGGCUUUCCUAUUCACUACUAAGCUGAGACUGAAUGCAGGUCAGCCUUUCAUUUCCUGCCCAGGUGAAAAAUAAGCAUAAAUUAGCCAAUUAAGUCAACUGUGCAAGAAACUUCUAUCGGUGGCUAUAAUGACAACUAAAUAUAUUCGUUUGUACCUAUAUACAAAUCUUCGGACCGUGCCCUACAGGCAGCACUUAGUACUUUGUGUACAAAGGUAAGUACUGAGUUCUCACCUUUUGGGCUUUUGUUAAUUCAGUGGGAUAGAAAGGUAGCUAAGUAUGUAAUUAUAAUACAUGGUAGUCUGUGGUAGCCCCUGAAAGAGGCAUUGAAUCAAUGGUAGUAUGAGUGAUGGAGAGAUUCUCUGGAGGAAAUUGGAGAAAGAGUUAGGGGAGUGUUUUUUAGAAGAGGGUUUAAAUAGGUCUUGGAGAAAGUGGGAGAGUAUUGGCAAUGUUAGGGACUCCAUCAUUGUAACACUUUUUUUCAUUCUGUAUCGAGUUCACUGCAACUCAUGGUGACCCAUGUGUGUCAGAGUAUUAACUGCACACCAUAGGGCUUUUAAUAGGCUGAAUUUUCUUAAGUAGAUCACCAGGCCUUUCUUCCAAGCAGCCUGUGGGUGGACUUGAACUGCCAACCUUUUGGUUAACAGCUGAGCAUGUUAAUUGUUUGCAUCGCCCAGGGAUUCCCUUCAUCCUAUAGAAUCAAACCAAACCUGUUUCCAUCCAGUCGAUCCUGACUCAUAGCAACCCUAUAGGAUAGAGUAGAGCUGCCCCAUAGGGAUUCUAAGGAAUAGCAGGUGGAUUUGAACUGCUGACCUUCUCCUUAGCAGCUUAGUCCUCUAGUGCUGCUAUAACAAAAAUACUACAAGUGAAUGGCUUUAACAAAGAGAAAUUUAUUUCUUCACAGUAAGGUAGGCUGAAAGUCCAAAUUCAGAGCAUCAGCUCCAGGGGAAGGCUUUCUUUCUGUCGGCUGUGGAAAAAGGUCUUUCUCAUCAGUCUUACCCUGGACCAGGAGCUUCUUUGCACAGGAACCCCGAGUUCAAAGGAUGCGCUCUGCUCCCAGUGCUUCUUUCUUGGUGGUAUGAAACCCCCUCUCUGGUUACUUCCUUUUCCUUUUUAUCUCUGGAGAGAUGAAAGGUGGUACAGGCCACAGCCCAGGGAGACUCCCUUUAGAUUGGAUCAGGGACGGUGACCUGGGUAAGGAUGGUGUUAUAAUCCCACCCUAAACCUCUUUAACAUUAAAAUUACAGUCACAAAAUGGAGGACAACAACACAAUACUGGGAAUCAUGGCCUAACCAAGUUGACGCGUAUUUUUGGAGGAUACAAGUCAAUCCAUGACAGCAGCCAAGCUCUUGACCACUGCACCACCAGGGCUCCAUUGACCCUAUACCAAAACCAAACCCAGUGCCGUUGAAUCGAUUCUGACUCAUAGCGACCCUACAGGACAAAGUAGAACUGCCCCAUAGAGUUUCCAAGGAGCGCCUGGCAGAUUCAAACUGCUGACCUUUUGGCAUAAUAGAGCACACUAAAUUUGCUUGAUUACUAAGUGCUGCUCCUAUUACCAAAACUUUGCAUUUUUUGUUAUCAAAACAUUGUAACCUUUUAUAUCAUGCAUUCUCAACAGGGAUGUUAACACCUCCAAGUGGGCAAAAAUUGUUUCUUGGGGGAGCGAGAAAGCCUCAGAGGUUACAAUGGUUUGUGGCCCUUCAAGGCUCAGCCUUAUCUCACAAAAUCUUUUUUCUUCAGAAUUUAAUUUCUCUUGUUAGAAUUUAAAUUAAGUUUAAUUUUUCUCCUUAGGGAGUCAGUAAUGAAAAAAAGACUAAGAAAAACUAUUUUAGAUGAUUUAUGACCUCUCAUGUUUAGGUGUGAAGUGGCACUUUAUUUAAAAAUCUCAGAAAUUUUAUGAUAAGCAUCAUGUGGCUUAUAAACAUGGUUUAUAUAAAACCAUGUAAAACACAUGGUUUGCCCCCCCAGUCACUUCUUUAACAUCAUUUUUGUUAACAUGAAUCAUUUGAUGUAAUGCAAAUUAUAUUGAAUAAGAAGAGUGCCCUGGUGAAUGCUAUUAAAAGCUAUUACAAAGGCUGUUGAUAAAAGUAGCUAAUAAUCUAUCCAUUAGGACACAUUGUACUUAAUAUUUUGAGGGAGAGAAAAACCACAAAACUGCUUCUGUCUGAGGUCUAAAUAUGUAACAGAACAUUGGAAGAGUAAAAACAUGAAUUUGCUAUUCACUAUAUUAUUUUUUCAUUUUAAUAAUUUAUUUAAAAAAAGAUUCAUAGAAUUUUUUCCAUGAGGAUAGUGGUCCAUUUUGGGGCCUAUAGCAAAUGUGGACUGGGACUUAUUUUUUAAAAAUGGGUCAGCCCAAUCCAAAACCAAACCCAUUGCCAUCAAGUUGAUUCUGACUCCUAACUGACCCUGUAGGACAGAAUAGAACUGCCCCAUAGAAUUUCCAGGGAGGAGCUGGUGGAUUCAAACUGCCGAUGUUUUGUCUAGCAGCUGAGCUGUUAACCACUGCACCACCAGGGCUCCAAAAAUUGGUCAAAUGGGGCCCAAAAAUAAGUUUGAAGACUCGUGACAAAUGGAUAAUGGUAUGUACAUAUUCAUUAAAAAAAUAUUCAUUAGUCACUGCAUAAACACUGUUUUAUGCAAGGUGCUAUGUGGGGUGCAUGCCUGCCCUAAUGAAACUUAAACAUUUGAGUAAAAGCAGUAACAUGUUAUAUACGUGAAAUAGCAAAUGUAUAGAGUAUGGAGGACUGAAGGAACCCUUAACAGAACUUAAGUAGUUGGCUGCUAAGGGAAAGUUCGGCAGUUUGACCCCAACGACCACUCCGCAGGAGAGAGAUGUGGCAGUCUGCUUCCUUAAAGAUUUACAGCUUUGGAAACCCCUGGGGGCAGUUCUACUCUGUCCUGUAGAGUCUAGCAGCGAGUCAGAAUCAACUCAAAGGCAACAGAUAUGCAGAUGGAUGAAGGGGAAAGUACAAAGAGCAAGCUGAGUGGUCUAAUUUGGAGAAAAGAAGGUUGAGGAGGUGCACCAAAGGCAACAGCAUGAUAAAAUGAGCUUGAACUUCAGCAUGAAGGGACCUCCCCCCCAAAAUGCUGGACAUGCAAUAAGUGUUGAACUCAGACCAAAAAUGGUUUGAUCUAUUCUUGAGGUAUCAGCAUAAAGGCUUCAAGAGAGUUUCCAAUUUGGAUUCACUUAUAAAAAGGCCUAGGAGGAUGAAUUGGUAGUAAGAAACUCACUAAAAACUGAUUGGAUGUAAAUUCUCUCAGUCUCUUCCACAAACUUCCCUCCUAAAAUGUCUUCAAACCUCCCAGAAUGCAUAGAAUCAUUUAGUAUACAGGCAGUCCCUGGGUUAUGAACAAGAUCCAUUCAUAAGUGUGUCUUUAAAUCAAAUUUGUAGGUAAGUUGGAACAGGUGCAUACAGUUCUUAUAUAGCCUUACUUUAUUUACUGCAAGGAAGGAAACCCUGCUGGUGUAGUGGUUAAGAGCUACGGCUGGUAACCAAAAGAUUGGCAGUUUGAAUCCACCAGGCACUCCUUGGAAACCCUACGGGGACAGUUCUACCCUGUCCUAUAUGGUUGCUAUGAGUUGGAAUUGACUCGAUGGCAAUGGGUUUUACGCAAGGAAAGGCUGAAGUCUUUUCAGUGAUUUAAAAGCUGCACCUGCAACAAGUGUAGGGGAUUGUGAUGAAGAAUUUGUUGAGAGUGAGGGUUGGUUCAGUCAUUUCAAAGUGAGGGCAGAUUUACAUAACAUUAAAGGGCAAGUAUAAGUUGUCGGUUUCUGUUCUCUGUAAAUCCGACGUUAGUAACCUGGGGAUUUACUGUAUAUGUUACUAAAAUGCUUAUGUAAGUAUAUUUUGUAACAAAUCCGUUAUUUGUAAAAUGCCUUAAUUAUUUCUUCUGUUCUAGUUUUUUUUUUUUUUUUUAGUUCGUAGACGGAAAAUUAUUAAGUCAAGCAACUACAUUUAGAGAGAUACAAAGGAAAUAUGAAAGAUACAGUACUCAUGCAACAAGAAUCUACCUUUAAAAAAUCAGAGCCCUUUACUUUCAGGUCUAGAUAUGGCAAGAAACUUCAGAUCCAAUCCUCUGAAAUUGGAUCUGAUUAAAGAAAAAAAAAAUCUUAGGAAGCUUUUUUUGUGAACAGAUUUUGUCUCUGGGGUGAUUUAUAGUGUUGGUUUUUAUUAUAAGAAUAAUUAUGGUAAUAAAAAAAAAAAAACCUAGUGCUUAUUUUAAAAUAAGCUUUUUUUAAAAAAACAACCAGGAUUAUUUGAUUAACAGCUGCUUUCCUUUCUGUUGCCUUUUAUACCUAACCAGUUAUCUUUGCUCCCACUCAAAUACCAACCACCAAUCUUCUUGUCUUUGCUCUUAACUGAAGCAAGAGAAGAAGGGAAGUUAUGAAUUUCGUCCAAGAUGCCUUGGGACCGCUCAAGGGGGCUUAUAUUAUGUAUCUAGUUUCUCAGAGUAGUAGCAUUCCUUCACUCCUGACUUGUUAAAUAUUUGGGUACCUUCUUUACGCCAGCCGUUUUGCUAGGUGCUAGAGAUGCUGUAGUAAACAAGACAGUUCUUCUUCCCUCUGCCUUGUCUCCUCAGUACACUUUAAACUCUUGUCUUUCACAAGGGUGGCAGCAGUAAGGAAUUACAUGAUUCCAGAUGAGUUUUCCAUGCCUUUGAGUCUAAUCUGACAUGUGAAGAUUUGUAAGUUGCUCUAAUAUGUGAUAGACACGUUAAAUUUAUCUGUAGCCAAUUUAAGGAAAGACACAAAAUAAUUCUUAGGUAAUUUAAUAGCAUAGCUGUGGAGAUGAAAUAGAUUAUUGGAACAAAAUAACCAUAUAUAUGAUAACCUGUGAAUUUGUAUGAUCCCUCCAGCUCUUGUGACCUCCCAGGCUCCUUAAUACAAGUGUUGCUUCACUUUCUAAGGUAUCAUUUUUGGUGUGAUGGCAGAUACGGUGUCAGAUCCUACUUGGCAUCAGUUCUUUUUAAAAUUGUUGACAAAGAUUCCCUCUUGAAAAUGAACUUGGGACACUUCCAUAUCCAGCGAAUAUUUCCUCCCACCCGAAACAAGCCAAAAACAAAACACCAGACCAAAUAUAUGAAGCAGUGGUUUUGGGAACACUGGCCAUCAGGCAGCAAAGGACAGUGAUCUCUGUGAGAUGGGAAGCAAAUGAUGCGAGCCCUACAAUUGCCCUAGCUUUGUCCUGAGAGAAGGGGCGCCAGUGCAACUGCACGAACUCCCUGAGUUGAAGAGAUGGAGCUGAGAGUCUGUGGAGACCAAGGACAGUAGAUUACACAGAACCGGUACUGGAGAAGAUAUAGUUACACAGAGAGCUCCAGAGAUAUGCAGAGAGUAUCCCUCAAGUAGUCAGCAGAGUUCUGAUCAGCACACUAAGCCUGAAGAAGAAACCGUCUGAAAGGAUUACAGGUAAUAGUUCCCAAUGUUCAUACAGAGCCAAAAAUAGUGCCUGUGCCCACCAGUCAAACUGGAAAACCUCAUAAUUCAUGGAGCAUCAACUAGAGUACUCACGAGGACCUUUCCGUUAAAAACAAACGAACAAAAAAAAAAACCGGUUGCUCUCGAGUUAA